AGGGAAAAGCUGUGACGAUUGUGCGAAUCUAAGAAUUGCAUAAGCGUAUGGCUUUUCCCCUG
RNAcentral lists this microRNA precursor (62 nucleotides) under Triops cancriformis. Its description in RNAcentral is "microRNA tcf-mir-965 precursor". Its record names the gene tcf-mir-965. The record is from miRBase by way of RNAcentral. Lineage: Eukaryota; Metazoa; Arthropoda; Branchiopoda; Notostraca; Triopsidae.